RNAcentral lists this ribosomal RNA (776 nucleotides) under uncultured Neocallimastigales. RNAcentral's name for it is "partial large subunit ribosomal RNA". It matches the Rfam family "Eukaryotic large subunit ribosomal RNA", at positions 22 to 621 of the family's 3401-position model. The record is from RNAcentral. Lineage: Eukaryota; Fungi; Neocallimastigomycota; Neocallimastigomycetes; Neocallimastigales.
UAUAUCAGUCAUGCAUAGCAUAUCAAUAAGCGGAGGAAAAGAAACUAACAAGGAUUCCCUUAGUAACGGCGAGUGAAGCGGGAAGAGCUCAAAUUUGAAAUCUUCAAGGUUUUACCUUGACGAAUUGUAGUUUAAAGAAGUGUUUUCUGUUGAAGUUUUGGUAAAAGUUCUUUGGAAUAGGACAUCAUAGAGGGUGAGAAUCCCGUAUUUGACCAUUACUUUCAGCUUUGUGAUACACUUUCAAAGAGUCGGAUUGUUUGGGAAUGCAGUCCAAAAUGGGUGGUAAAUUUCAUCUAAAGCUAAAUAUUGGCGAGAGACCGAUAGCGAACAAGUACCGUGAGGGAAAGAUGAAAAGAACUUUGAAAAGAGAGUUAAACAGUACGUGAAAUUGUCAAAAGGGAAGCGUUUGACACCAGUGUUGUUUUCUCGAAAAUCAAUUAAAAAGAGUUGGAUUUUGUGUUGUAUUGACUUUAUCAGCUUUCUUCACUCUUUUCCAGCUUUUUUUAAUGCACUUUUCGUUUAACAAGUCAACAUCAGUUUCUUUUGUUGUAAAAAGGUCAUUGGAAGGUGGCUUUCUCUUCGGAGAAAGUGUUUAUAGCCUUUGACUCAUGCAAUCGGAGAGACUGAGGUCUGCAGCGUAGAUCCUUCGGGGUUAGAUACAUUUGUGCUAAGUUAUAGCUUUUUCAUAGACAACUUGUUGACUAUGUUUAGUCUUGUAGCUUACUCGCUUAUGCUAUUUUACCUACGCUUAGGAUGUUGAACUCUAUCACACACAG